This 919-nucleotide long non-coding RNA is filed under the name Chinchilla lanigera (long-tailed chinchilla). RNAcentral describes it as "lncRNA (ENSCLAG00000027638.1)". Lineage: Eukaryota; Metazoa; Chordata; Mammalia; Rodentia; Chinchillidae. The record is from RNAcentral.
ACGGCGGCGGCGACGGCGCCGCCGCGGGGCAUCGCCCUCCACGCUGGCUGCGCGCUCGCAGCGCUCCCUGCCCUCAGUACUCACAGCUGGCCCGCUUCAGUGCGCGGUAACAAAGGCCGAAAGAGAUAAACAAUUCCCGGCGUGAGGCGACGGUAGCCAGACCGGGACCUCCUAAAGCAGCACCCGAGCAAGCGCGGAGUGAUGACGCAACAGGCCGUUUGGGCUUUUUUUUCCCCCUGUCCAAACGGAGCUAGAUCGGAAAAUGUCCUCGGUGUGCGCUGUUGCCACGGUGAGAGAACUCACUGCAUUCAAAGCAGAAUCAACCUUCAAUAUUGAAGAUUUCAGAUUUGGAGAAUCAAAUACAUAUCUUUCUCUGGUCCUUUGCCUUGGGUCUGGACAAGCUGCUGGUAGAAGCUCCUGUCUUAAAACCAGGAAUGGUCUCCAUCAUCCACACUCCAUCUCCCCAAGCAACAUUGGCAGGUGGGCCAUGCAGCAGAGGCACCCAAAUUUUUCUUGGUGUGCUGGCUGUCACUCCUGCUCUGGGCACCCACUCUGGCUGCUGGAUGUUCCAUUUUGGCUGGGAUUUCAAGUGCCCUGUGUUGCACCGAAUGAAUUUCCAUUGCCAAUAGGGUGCAUGCCAGCACUGGUGGUGGUGUCAGUGGCAGCAGGGAGAGCCAGGGCAUGCUGCAGUCACAUCCUACCUAUUUGGUUCCAGCGCAUAUGCCAGUAGUUGGUGGUGCACGCCUAUUGCUGUGGCUAGACUGGGCACGUGGACACACAGGUGGCUGGGAAAUCCCAGCUGAGUCUGCCUAAGACUGGAGCACAAGCACAGAGCCCUCCCUGAACCCAUCCUGUUCCCUCCCCUGGUGGUGCUGUGCCUUGCUGAACUAGCCAGGUGCAAUUUAAAACAGUUUUUUUC